RNAcentral lists this ribosomal RNA (456 nucleotides) under uncultured bacterium. Its description in RNAcentral is "bacterial SSU rRNA". It matches the Rfam family "Bacterial small subunit ribosomal RNA", at positions 28 to 507 of the family's 1533-position model. The record is from RNAcentral.
GACGAACGCUGGCGGCACGCCUAACACAUGCAAGUCGAACGGAGAACCUUCGGGUUCUUAGUGGCGGACGGGUGAGUAACACGUGAGCAACCUGCCUCUCAGAGGGGGAUAACGUUUGGAAACGAACGCUAAUACCGCAUAACGUAUUUUGGUCACAUGGCCUUGAUACCAAAGGAGCAAUCCGCUGAGAGAUGGGCUCGCGUCCGAUUAGAUAGUUGGCGGGUAACGGCCCACCAAGUCGACGAUCGGUAGCCGGACUGAGAGGUUGAACGGCCACAUUGGGACUGAGACACGGCCCAGACUCCUACGGGAGGCAGCAGUGGGGGAUAUUGCACAAUGGGGGAAACCCUGAUGCAGCAACGCCGCGUGAAGGAAGAAGGUCUUCGGAUUGUAAACUUCUGUUUUAGUGAAGAAACAAAUGACGGUAGCUAAAGAGAAGCACGGCUAAACUACGUG